GUUCUGGUCUUUUUUAUUUGCAUACUAUAUGCAAUAGGUCAACUAUAUAAGGUGUAUGGAAGUAUCUUGUGAUGUUCAUGUCAGGCAGUCAGGUAUAUUUGACCAUGAUCUCAUUUUUACUGAUCAAUGUUCAGUUGGUUUGGGGAUGUUUUUCUUAAAACAGUAGGUCAACUUUAUUUGAUGAAUGUAAUGAUUGUAAUGUGUAUAUGCCUGUCUGGCAGGUAUCAUUUAACCUUGACCUCUUUGUCAUGGUUUGAAUCAUUAGUCAAUCUAAAGUUUUCCUGGUUUAGUUUGUUUCUAAGAUACAAUAAGCAAUAUGUCAACUAUAUUUAAU
This 334-nucleotide long non-coding RNA is filed under the name Mytilus galloprovincialis (Mediterranean mussel). The record is from RNAcentral. Lineage: Eukaryota; Metazoa; Mollusca; Bivalvia; Mytilida; Mytilidae.